This 449-nucleotide ribosomal RNA is filed under the name uncultured bacterium. RNAcentral's name for it is "bacterial SSU rRNA". It matches the Rfam family "Bacterial small subunit ribosomal RNA", at positions 330 to 797 of the family's 1533-position model. The record is from RNAcentral.
UCCAGACUCCUACGGGAGGCAGCAGUGGGGAAUAUUGCACAAUGGGGGAAACCCUGAUGCAGCAACGCCGCGUGGGUGAAGGAGCGUUUCGGCGCGUAAAGCCCUGUCAGCGGGGAAGAAGAAAGACGGUACCCGACCAAGAAGCCCCGGCUAACUACGUGCCAGCAGCCGCGGUAAUACGUAUGGAGCAAGCGUUAUCCGGAAUUACUGGGUGUAAAGGGAGCGUAGACGGAUGUGCAAGUCUGAUGUGAAAGGCGGGGGCUCAACCCCUGGACUGCAUUGGAAACUGUAAAUCUUGAGUGCCGGAGAGGUAAGCGGAAUUCCUAGUGUAGCGGUGAAAUGCGUAGAUAUUAGGAGGAACACCAGUGGCGAAGGCGGCUUACUGGACGGUAACUGACGUUGAGGCUCGAAAGCGUGGGGAGCAAACAGGAUUAGAUACCCCCGUACUA